This 254-nucleotide ribosomal RNA is filed under the name uncultured bacterium. RNAcentral describes it as "partial 16S ribosomal RNA". It matches the Rfam family "Bacterial small subunit ribosomal RNA", at positions 523 to 776 of the family's 1533-position model. The record is from RNAcentral.
GUACAGAGGUCUCAAGCGUUGUUCGGAUUCAUUGGGCGUAAAGGGUGCGUAGGUGGCGCUGUAAGUCGGGUGUGAAAUUUCGGAGCUUAACUCCGAAACUGCAUUCGAUACUGCGGUGCUUGAGGACUGGAGAGGAGACUGGAAUUCAUGGUGUAGCAGUGAAAUGCGUAGAGAUCAUGAGGAAGACCAGUGGCGAAGGCGGGUCUCUGGACAGUUCCUGACACUGAGGCACGAAGGCCAGGGGAGCAAACGGG